Portunus trituberculatus (swimming crab) is the source of this 234-nucleotide long non-coding RNA. RefSeq lists it as uncharacterized. NCBI's taxonomy places the organism in Eukaryota, Metazoa, Arthropoda, Malacostraca, Decapoda, Portunidae. The record is from RefSeq and is a predicted model, not a curated record. The transcript has 2 exons.
UGCAAUAACCACUCCACUCUGUCUCCUCCGAACACUCUCUCCUCUCCAGCCUUUGACUCGCACAAGUAACACCAGCAACACAACAGUUUCCUCGUGCGCCAGGCAGCCGAGCCGGGACAGAAGGCACCCGAGGAAAAAAAAAAUCAUGCACUCUAAUCGACUAUCAUGGGUUAAGAAGACACACACUUUGACCACAGCAGAGAGCAGACGUUGCCUACAAGUGCUCAGAAUUAA